RNAcentral lists this unclassified non-coding RNA (370 nucleotides) under soil metagenome. RNAcentral describes it as "partial contains 5.8S ribosomal RNA, internal transcribed spacer 2, and large subunit ribosomal RNA". The stretch from base 1 to 120 matches the Rfam family "5.8S ribosomal RNA", at positions 35 to 154 of the family's 154-position model. The record is from RNAcentral.
GAUGAAGAACGCAGCGAAAUGCGAUAAGUAAUGUGAAUUGCAGAAUUCCGUGAAUCAUCGAAUCUUUGAACGCACAUUGCGCCCGGCAGUAAUCUGCCGGGCAUGCCUGUCCGAGCGUCAUUUCUACCCUCGAGCGAGUACAGCAUCUAGGUGCUGGGCCUCGCCCGGCGUUGGAGCACUACGGGAAGCCCUGUGCUGUCCCCCGUAGGCCCCGAAAUGAAGUGGCGGUCCUGCCGCGGCGCCCCCUGCGUAGUAUAACAGCUCGCUUCGGGACCCGGUGGAGGCCUGCCGUCAAACCUAUACUCUCUAAGUUUGACCUCGGAUCAGGUAGGGUUACCCGCUGAACUUAAGCAUAUCAAUAAGCGGAGGA